GCGUCGGUAGUGCAACGGUUCAGCACGCGCGCUCAGAAAGAGUGAGAUCUGGAUUCGAAACUCCAGCUGACGUA
Molecule: non-coding RNA, 74 nt
Organism: Parelaphostrongylus tenuis
Lineage: Eukaryota; Metazoa; Nematoda; Chromadorea; Rhabditida; Metastrongylidae
Source: the annotation of a GenBank genome assembly